GACGAACGCUGGCGGCGUGCUUAACACAUGCAAGUCGAACGGAAAGGCCCUGCUCUUGUGGGGUGCUCGAGUGGCGAACGGGUGAGUAACACGUGAGUAACCUGCCCUUGACUUUGGGAUAACUUCAGGAAACUGGGGCUAAUACCGGAUAGGAGCUCCUGCUGCAUGGUGGGGGUUGGAAAGUUUCGGCGGUUGGGGAUGGACUCGCGGCUUAUCAGCUUGUUUGUGGGGUAGUGGCUUACCAAGGCUUUGACGGGUAGCCGGCCUGAGAGGGUGACCGGCCACAUUGGGACUGAGGUACGGCCCAGACGCCUACGGGAGGCAGCAGUGGGGAAUAUUGCGGAAUGGGCGGAAGCCUGAGGCAGCAACGCCGCGUGCGGGAUGACGGCCUUCGGGUUGUAAACCGCUUUCGCCUGUGACGAAGAGUGAGUGACGGUAAUGGGUAAAGAAGCACCGGCUAACUACGUG
Molecule: ribosomal RNA, 468 nt
Filed under: uncultured bacterium
Lineage: Bacteria
Description: partial 16S ribosomal RNA
Rfam family: Bacterial small subunit ribosomal RNA
Source: RNAcentral